GAUGAACGCUGGCGGCGUGCCUAAUACAUGCAAGUAGAACGCUGAAGGAAGGAGCUUGCUCUUUCCGGAUGAGUUGCGAACGGGUGAGUAACGCGUAGGUAACCUGCCUGGUAGCGGGGGAUAACUAUUGGAAACGAUAGCUAAUACCGCAUAACAGUAGAUGUUGCAUGAUAUCUACUUAAAAGGUGCAAUUGCACCACUACCAGAUGGACCUGCGUUGUAUUAGCUAGUUGGUGAGGUAACGGCUCACCAAGGCGACGAUACAUAGCCGACCUGAGAGGGUGAUCGGCCACACUGGGACUGAGACACGGCCCAGACUCCUACGGGAGGCAGCAGUAGGGAAUCUUCGGCAAUGGACGGAAGUCUGACCGAGCAACGCCGCAGGAGUGAAGAAGGUUUUCGGAUCGUAAAGCUCUGUUGUAAGAGAAGAACGAGUGUGAGAGUGGAAAGUUCACACUGUGACGGUAUCUUACCAGAAAGGGACGGCUAACUACGUG
This 497-nucleotide ribosomal RNA is filed under the name uncultured bacterium. RNAcentral describes it as "partial 16S ribosomal RNA". It matches the Rfam family "Bacterial small subunit ribosomal RNA", at positions 28 to 507 of the family's 1533-position model. The record is from RNAcentral.